UACGUAGGCAGCGAGCGUUGUUCGGAGUUACUGGGCGUAAAGCGUGCGUAGGCGGUGUCUUAAGUUUGUUGUGAAAUCUCCCGGCUUAACCGGGAGGGUGCGGCGAAUACUGAGAUGCUGGAGUGCCGGAGAGGUAAGCGGAAUUCCUGGUGUAGCGGUGAAAUGCGUAGAUAUCAGGAGGAACACCCAUGGCGAAGGCAGCAAACUGGUCAUCAACUGACGCUGAGGCGCGAAAGCGUGGGUAGCAAACAGG
This 253-nucleotide ribosomal RNA is filed under the name uncultured bacterium. Its description in RNAcentral is "partial 16S ribosomal RNA". It matches the Rfam family "Bacterial small subunit ribosomal RNA", at positions 524 to 776 of the family's 1533-position model. The record is from RNAcentral.